Macaca mulatta (Rhesus monkey) is the source of this 4163-nucleotide long non-coding RNA. The record is from Ensembl. NCBI's taxonomy places the organism in Eukaryota, Metazoa, Chordata, Mammalia, Primates, Cercopithecidae.
AGAAAUCUUUUAUUUGAUGACUGAGUGACUUCUGCCUGCUAGGUACUUUGUUCACUAUAUUUAUGCUGUAUCUCGGUCUCGAAUGUUAUAAUAACAGCAAGAGGGAAUAGGUACUAUUAUUAUUCUCACUUCAAAACUGAGGAAACUAAAGACUAGAGAUGUAAACUAACUUGCUUAUUUGUCCUGUAAAUAGGUAGAUGGGAUUUAAACCCUGAUCUUUCUGCUUUUAGAAUCGAAUUGCAUGGCUACACUGUAUUUCUAUCAUGGCAGAGGUCCCUGGUACAGGAAUACGAUUUGAUAAACACUUGUUGAAUGAAAAAGCCAGUAUGCAGAGGUUUAUGAAAAAGAAGUAGUUGCUUACUUAAUAAUUUUUAAAUGCUUUCCCCAAAUGCACCUAAGAUUAGAAAACAAAGACAAGAAUGAAAGGCUUUGAGACGUGUAAAACAUCUUUGACAAUCAUUCUGUAAUGUCUGCAUCAAGUUCCAGCCCUGCCACAUCAUAAAGCCUUCCAGAUUCCAGUCUCACAAGAACAUGAUCCUAGAAGAUUCUGGUGUUCAUGGCUUCCACCCACAGUGCAGGGUUCAGUUGGUGUUCAGAAGCCUUUCUCCAUCAUCACCAUUAACGGAUGUGAUCCACAGAGGAACUGGUGCAGGAUGAAGACGGCUGUCCUCCCUGGAAAUGAUAAAAUUAGCCACAGGACUCAGAUUGCUUAAUCAACCAUCUGGAGUUUGUGCAGACUAACUUUCUCUUUUUAAAAAGUGUUUCUUUACUUUGCCAGACUAAUUAGCUUAGUACUUUGAGUGAACUUAACCAGGAGAUACCAACGACACGGUUUUCAGUGCUGAGCCUCAGUAGAGAGUCAAGAAGAUCUCAUUUGAGGGAGACUGCCAAGAAAGGAAGAGCUCUAAAUAGUUUCCUGAGAGUUGGAGACUGUUUCCACCCUUCCCCUUGAGAAACACAAAAGAGUUAUUGCAGCAAAUCGACUAGGAACUGCAGCAUCAUUUGUUUUUUGUGGUCCAGUGAUUUCAAGUCAAGUGAGCAGGGUAUUAAUCUGUUCUCUUCUCACCAGCUCUGUGACCUUGGACAAGUUAUUUGAAACCUGUCUCUAUACUUUACUAAUCUACAAAAUGGAGCCAAGCAAGCUUACCUCACGAGGACUGACUGAUGAUGAUAGCCAUGCUCCAGUGAGUGCCAGCUUAUGUUAGACACCAUGUAAAGUGCUUUACCCAAAUUUUCCCAUCUUCAAAACAGCUCUCCAGAGUAGGCUGUUAUAUCAUCAUUUGUAUAUAUUAGGACACUGAGACCCAUAGAAGUUUCUCUAGCUUUUGAAGUCAGACAGGUUUUGAACCCAGAUGUCUGUGGCCACAAAGGGAUGGUCUUGUGGAAUAUGACAGUGCUUUCCACUAGGUUUCAAAUAUUGCCUGUAAUCUACCUUUAUGGUUGAUGACAGUGUAAACCACUUAUGAGUUUCCUUCACCUGUUGGACUCUGUCCUUUGACCCACCUAUUUCUUUUUACAGCUCUAGUCUUUAAAGCCAAGUUGCCAAGUUAUCCUAUCAUUUGGUCCAGGCUUUUCAUACUUUCCAUGGUAGUAGUUAAGAGACUACUAGACUUUAGACUAAAGACUAUAGACUUUAGAAUUAGACUACAGACUUUAGACUAAAGACUAUAGACUUUAGAACUAGAAUGCCCAGGUUCAGAUUCCAGCUUCACAGCUCAUAGCUGUGUGGCCUUCAGCAAGUUACUUAACUUCAGUAUGUCUGUUUCCUCAUCGGUAAGAUGGAGAUAAUAGUACCCAUGUGAAGGUUGUUGGGAAAAAUUAAGUGAGUUGUUUUAAUCAAAGCACUUAGAACACUGCUUGGAACAUGGUAAGAGCUAUAUCUGUGUUGGUUAUAUAGUAGUCUGGGUUGUGAGGUCUCAGCAUGAUGUUCCCUCUCUAAACUCAUUCAAUGUAUGACAUAUAAUUAUGGUUUUCUUUCCUAACCUUCAGUUGUCAUCUUUAAACAUUUUAUUUUUGUGGUUUCAGGUACGGUGUUAGUUACCUAGGCAGACAGGUAACAGCUUGAUACCUUCUUUCCUUAAAUGUACAUUGCACUGUAACUUGGUCCAAUGUUCCUUAGACUCCUUUGGCAAAAGUGUUAAAAAGAUUCUUUUCAAGUCAUAUACGUUUGUGUCAUUUGUGUGCCACAUAAACUUGGGAACUGCAAUAACCUAUAAUAUCUGCUUGGGAAUUUAUAAUAAAUAUGAGCAAAUUUACUUCCCUGAGAAUUCCAAGAGAAAAUGAAUGAGUUUAAUUUUGUUUAAAAUAGUGCUUCCUAAAUUAUUUUCCCAAUUCACCCUUCUAUUUAUUAAGAAAAUACCCACACAGUGUUGACAAUACUUGUCUAGUGAGCUCUGACUUUUGUUAGUAAGAGAAUGCCUGAAGAAAGUCCUUAGGAAAACCUGUUUUAAAUAUUGACCCUAUAGGAUUUCUAUUUUUGUAGCAAACUAAAUUAUCAGAAGGCUAAUUGUUAGCUUACCUUGAUUCAGAGUAUUGCAGAAUCACCAACACCAUGUUGCAUUUUAAACUUAUGAGCUCUAUUUAUGCUGAAUAUAGAGAUAAGAAACAGUAAUUUGAAAUUCAUUUGAGAUAUUGUGCUCCAUCAUGUCGAGAACAUUGCCUUUGCUGUGGACUAAAGUCACUAUGGCUUGAAUAUGCCCCCCAAAGUUUAGGUAUUGGAUACUUAAUCCCCCAUGCAACACUGCUGGAACCUAUAAAAUGUGCUAGGUCACAAUGGCUCUGGUCUCAUCAGUGGAUUAAUUAUUGAUGAGAUAAAUUAUUAUGGGAGGAGCUUAGUUACCUUAGGGGUGGAUUCUUGAUUAAAAAAAUUGGGGAUAAGCAUAGCCCCUUUCUCUCUUGAUCUUGCUUGAGUGUUCCCUUGCCCUUCCACUGUUCAUUAUAUGAUGAUGCAGCAAGGAGGCUCUCACUAGCUGCGGCUUGGACUUCCCAGCCUCCAGAGCCACAAGUAAAGUACAUUUUUCUUCUUGAUAAAUUACUCACUUUCAGUUAUUCUGUUAUAGCAGCAGAAAAUAGACUAAGAUCUCUUUUACAUAUAAUCUUCUACACUGAAUUUUAUUUUAUAUGCUUGUUGGGGAUGAUUUUGUUUCCCUUGAAGAACCAAUAGAAAUAACAGUUUCCUCCUUUCCUUUCUGAUGAGAAUCUUUUUACAGCAGAUUCUAAGAAGCUCACAGAAAUAGUUGAAACCUCAGCAGGACAACUUUGUUGUUCUUAGAUUUGACAUUUUUAUAUUCUUCUUUUCUCUGGUCCUAGUUUUCUAUUUUUAUGUAAAUAUUUGAUGUCAGUUUCUUUUAUUAUAAGCCACCUCAAGAUCUUUGUGGAAAGAUGUAUGCAUAUAAUAAACAUAAAUAUAUUAAACAAGAACCACUUUAAAAGUGAAACACUGCUAUCAAAGCAAGCAAUUGCAAUGUAAGUUUCUGUGAGAGCUAAGUACAAACUCAGCAGCUCAGAAGAAUUCAGUGGUGUGAGUUGGGGAAAAAUGGAAGAUUCAGAGAGGAUCUAACAGGUGAGCUGCAUGCUGAAGGAUAAGACAAAGGGUUUCUUAUAAAGAGAAUUAUAUCUAUAUAGGCAGAGAAGCUGGAAAGUAUAUUUGCAGUAUAUUUAGGGAUUGGCUGGUAUUGUGGCAGAUCUGAAACACAGGGUUGUUGGGAGCAACAAAGCAGAACUAUUGAGUAGUAUUGAGUAGAGCUUUGUAUUGUGUAGUUCCUUCUUAUUUCCAGAGUGAUUAGAAACAUGCCCUCAGAGUCAUGGUGACUCUUGGGUACUAGAAGAGCUCUAUCUCCUCUAACCUUUGGUGGUGCUAUUUUGUCUGAUACCUUUUUGGUAAACUACCAUGACAGUGGUUUGUAAUCUCCAAGAUAGGGGUUAAAUUUUCAAAAGAGGUAUUAAUAGGAUGCAUUGGAGAGGAUGUACAUAUUAUAAAACAAUGAGUCAUAAGUGACCUGUGGCUGUAUGAAAUGUCCUGGGCAGAAAUUAUAUCAUAAUAGCAACUUUUGGGUUUAUUUUCAUCUGAUGCUGCUUUAUCUGACCUUAUACAUUGCCUUACCAUAACCCAUCAAAUAGAUUUUGUUUAUUAAAGGAAGUUAAUUGGCUGUGCCAUUCUGUGC